UACGGAGGGUGCAAGCGUUGUCCGGAAUCACUGGGCGUAAAGGGCGCGUAGGCGGCUCAUGAAGGCUGUGGUGAAAGUCCGGGGCUCAACCUCGGAUCGGCCGUGGCGACUCGUGGGCUGGAGCACUGUAGAGGCGGGUGGAAUUCCGGGUGUAGCGGUGGAAUGCGUAGAGAUCCGGAAGAACACCAGUGGCGAAGGCGGCUCACUGGCCCGGUACUGACGCUGAGGCACGAAAGCGUGGGGAGCAAACAGG
This 253-nucleotide ribosomal RNA is filed under the name uncultured bacterium. RNAcentral describes it as "partial 16S ribosomal RNA". It matches the Rfam family "Bacterial small subunit ribosomal RNA", at positions 524 to 776 of the family's 1533-position model. The record is from RNAcentral.